CACCAAACAGCUAGCCACCAAACCAUGAGUAAUCCCCCCCCAUAAUUAACCUAAAAUAAACUAAACCAAGAAAUAAAUCAUUUUACCCUCUUAGUACGGGCGACCGAACGGAGACCAGCGAGCAAUAGAAUUAGUACCGCAAGGGAAAGCUGAAAGAGAAAUGAAAUAAAUCAUUUAAGCCUUAAAAAGCAGAGAUUAAAACUCGUACCUUUUGCAUCAUGAAUUAGCUAGCACACCCAAGCGAAGAGCCCUUUAGUUUGGUAUCCCGAAACUGGAGCGAGCUACUUCAAGACAGCCUAUUUUAGGGCAAACCCGUCUCUGUUGCAAAAGAGUGGGAAGAGCUUUGAGUAGAGGUGACAGACCUACCGAGCCCAGUAAUAGCUGGUUUCCUAAGAAGUGGAUAGAAGUUCAGCCCCUUAACUUACCACACCAACCCUAUCUUAGUUCUAUUCGGGCUACAGUAAAUUAAGGGAGUUAAUCAAAGGAGGUACAGCUCCUUUGAAAUAAGACACAACUUUAACAGGAGGCUAAGGAUCAUAUAUAUAAAGGUACGUACCUCAGUGGGCCUAAAAGCAGCCACCUUAAAAGAUAGCGUUAAAGCUCAAGCACAUGCCCGACCUAAUAUACUGAUUAUUUAUCCCACCCCCCUAACCCCACUAGGACCUCCUAUGCAACCAUAGGAGAGACUAUGCUAAUAUGAGUAAUAAGAAGGAAAAUUAAACCUUCUCCUAGCACACGCGUACAUCAGAACGGACCCCCCACCGACCAUUAAUCGGCCCCAAUUAGUAGAGGGUAGUGAACACUAAACAAAACACUAGAAGAACGUUCAACACUUUGGCCGUUACCCCCACACCGGAGUGCUUACAAGGAAAGACUAAAAGGAAAAGAAGGAACUCGGCAAACGCAAGCCCCGCCUGUUUACCAAAAACAUCGCCUCUUGUAAAAUAAAAAUAAGAGGUCCCACCUGCCCUGUGACAUAUGUUUAACGUGUGACAUAUGUUUAACGGCCGCGGUAUUUUGACCGUGCAAAGGUAGCGCAAUCACUUGUCUUUUAAAUGAAGACCUGUAUGAAUGGUAUAACGAAGGCUUAGCUGUCUCCUUUUCCCAGUCAAUGAAAUUGAUCUCCCCGUGCAGAAGCGGGGAUAAAAACAUAAGACGAGAAGACCCUAUGGAGCUUAAGACAAAAUAGUAGUCCAUAUAAAGUAACUUCAAAUAAAAAGUUAUAUUUUUUGCCCCCUGCUUGAAUGUCUUUGGUUGGGGCGACCGCGGGGAAAUAAAUAACCCCCAUGUGGAUUGAGAGAACCUCUCCCAAAACCAAGAGUCACCACUCUAAGUAACAGAACCUCUGACCAAAAUGAUCCGGAAAUACCGAUCAACGAACCGAGUUACCCUAGGGAUAACAGCGCAAUCCCCUUCCAGAGCCCAUAUCGACAAGGGGGUUUACGACCUCGAUGUUGGAUCAGGACAUCCUAAUGGUGCAGCCGCUAUUAAGGGUUCGUUUGUUCAACGAUUAAAGUCCUACGUGAUCUGAGUUCAGACCGGAGUAAUCCAGGUCAGUUUCUAUCUAUGGUAUGAUCUUUCCUAGUACGAAAGGACCGGAAAGAGGGGGCCCCUGCUUUAAGUAAGCCUCACCCCUACCUAGUGAAAACAACUUAAAUAGGCCAGAGGGCAUACCCUCUGGCCUAAAAGAACGGCGU
Molecule: ribosomal RNA, 1697 nt
Filed under: Cetostoma regani (pink flabby whalefish)
Lineage: Eukaryota; Metazoa; Chordata; Actinopteri; Beryciformes; Cetomimidae
Also listed under: 1 other name
Description: 16S rRNA
Rfam family: Bacterial large subunit ribosomal RNA (bases 94-1618)
Source: RNAcentral